AAAUUAGCAAGUCAUGUUUAAAAAUUUGGGUGUUAAGAUUGACAUCUAUUUUUCCAGGUUUCACAAUUAUUUUUCAUUUUUUUGCUUGCAUAUGUCAAAAUAUGCUUGUUUGUAUAUUAUCUAUAGGCUUCUAUGCAUCCGUUAGAGCUUCAAUAAACUCAUACCUAAAUCUUGCCUGUUUUUAAGUUCAGAUUGACGUGAUUGGACUGAAUUAUUGAUUUACUAUUUAAGGUUAAUGUUUUUAGAGAACGGAGAGCACUUGGUUUGACAUUGAAUGACACAAAAACA
This 288-nucleotide unclassified non-coding RNA is filed under the name Hevea brasiliensis (rubber tree). Lineage: Eukaryota; Viridiplantae; Streptophyta; Magnoliopsida; Malpighiales; Euphorbiaceae. The record is from RNAcentral.